GUGCUUGCACUCUGUCGGCGAGUGGCGAACGGCUGAGUAACGCGUAGGAACGUACCCCAAAGUGAGGGAUAAGCCCGAGAAAUCGGGUCUAAUACCGCAUAUGAUCUUCGGAUUAAAGCAUUUAUGCGCUUUGGGAACGGCCUGCGUCGGAUUAGGUUGUUGGUGAGGUAAUGGCUCACCAAGCCGACGAUCCGUAACUGGUCUGAGAGGAUGAUCAGUCAGACUGGAACUGAGACACGGUCCAGACUCC
Molecule: ribosomal RNA, 250 nt
Filed under: uncultured Candidatus Saccharibacteria bacterium
Lineage: Bacteria; Candidatus Saccharimonadota
Description: partial 16S ribosomal RNA
Rfam family: Bacterial small subunit ribosomal RNA
Source: RNAcentral